Molecule: ribosomal RNA, 397 nt
Filed under: Paenibacillus pabuli
Lineage: Bacteria; Bacillati; Bacillota; Bacilli; Caryophanales; Paenibacillaceae
Description: bacterial SSU rRNA
Rfam family: Bacterial small subunit ribosomal RNA
Source: RNAcentral
UCUCUGAUAGGUUAGCGGCGGACGGGUGAGUAACACGUAGGCAACCUGCCCUCAAGUUUGGGACAACUACCGGAAACGGUAGCUAAUACCGAAUAGUUGUUUUCUUCGCCUGAAGAGAACUGGAAAGACGGAGCAAUCUGUCACUUGGGGAUGGGCCUGCGGCGCAUUAGCUAGUUGGUGGGGUAACGGCUCACCAAGGCGACGAUGCGUAGCCGACCUGAGAGGGUGAUCGGCCACACUGGGACUGAGACACGGCCCAGACUCCUACGGGAGGCAGCAGUAGGGAAUCUUCCGCAAUGGGCGAAAGCCUGACGGAGCAAUGCCGCGUGAGUGAUGAAGGUUUUCGGAUCGUAAAGCUCUGUUGCCAGGGAAGAACGCUUGGGAGAGUAACUGCUCU